GCGGGUGUAGUUCAGUGGUAGAACGCUAGCUUCCCAAGCUCGAUAUGCGGGUUCGAUUCCCGUCACCCGCUCCA
RNAcentral lists this transfer RNA (74 nucleotides) under Methylotenera versatilis 301. Its description in RNAcentral is "tRNA-Gly (CCC) (tRNA-Gly-CCC-1-1)". It matches the Rfam family "tRNA". From Rfam's summary of the family: Transfer RNA (tRNA) molecules are approximately 80 nucleotides in length. Their secondary structure includes four short double-helical elements and three loops (D, anti-codon, and T loops). Further hydrogen bonds mediate the characteristic L-shaped molecular structure. tRNAs have two regions of fundamental functional importance: the anti-codon, which is responsible for specific mRNA codon recognition, and the 3' end, to which the tRNAs corresponding amino acid is attached (by aminoacyl-tRNA synthetases). tRNAs cope with the degeneracy of the genetic code in two manners: having more than one tRNA (with a specific anti-codon) for a particular amino acid; and 'wobble' base-pairing, i.e. permitting non-standard base-pairing at the 3rd anti-codon position. RNAcentral also lists the same sequence under 3 other names. The record is from RNAcentral. Lineage: Bacteria; Pseudomonadati; Pseudomonadota; Betaproteobacteria; Nitrosomonadales; Methylophilaceae.